RNAcentral lists this transfer RNA (72 nucleotides) under Capra hircus (goat). It matches the Rfam family "tRNA". From Rfam's summary of the family: Transfer RNA (tRNA) molecules are approximately 80 nucleotides in length. Their secondary structure includes four short double-helical elements and three loops (D, anti-codon, and T loops). Lineage: Eukaryota; Metazoa; Chordata; Mammalia; Artiodactyla; Bovidae. The record is from Rfam by way of RNAcentral. RNAcentral also lists the same sequence under 1 other name.
GGGGGUAUCACUCAGUAGUAGAGCACAUGCUUAGUAUGCAUGAGGCCCUGGAUUCAAUCCCCAAUACCUCUA